GGAAGUAAAAGUCGUAACAUGGUUUCCGUAGGUGAACCUGCGGAAGGAUCUUUAUUGGAUUUCGAAACUUCAGGCUGCUGCUGGCUCUCCUCGGAGGGCAUGUGCACGCUUGUUGUCCAUUAUUUCUCCCACUGUGCACAAAUUGUAGACCUUUCAGUAGGCCUAUGUUGUUUUUCACAAUCUCUGAAUGUAAUAGAAUGGUUUUGAAUCUUGGGAAAUACAAUACAACUUUCAGCAACGGAUCUCUUGGCUCUC
Molecule: unclassified non-coding RNA, 255 nt
Filed under: plant metagenome
Description: partial contains small subunit ribosomal RNA, internal transcribed spacer 1, and 5.8S ribosomal RNA
Rfam family: Eukaryotic small subunit ribosomal RNA (bases 1-54)
Source: RNAcentral